Molecule: transfer RNA, 76 nt
Filed under: Humibacter ginsenosidimutans
Lineage: Bacteria; Bacillati; Actinomycetota; Actinomycetes; Micrococcales; Microbacteriaceae
Description: Humibacter sp. WJ7-1 tRNA-Lys
Rfam family: tRNA
About the family: Transfer RNA (tRNA) molecules are approximately 80 nucleotides in length. Their secondary structure includes four short double-helical elements and three loops (D, anti-codon, and T loops).
Source: RNAcentral
GCCCCUCUAGCUCAGUUGGUAGAGCAUCGGACUUUUAAUCCGCGGGUCGCCGGUUCGAGCCCGGCGGGGGGCACCU